Molecule: ribosomal RNA, 552 nt
Filed under: uncultured bacterium
Lineage: Bacteria
Description: bacterial SSU rRNA
Rfam family: Bacterial small subunit ribosomal RNA
Source: RNAcentral
CUGAGGAGCGAAAGCAUGGGGAGCGAACAGGAUUAGAUACCCUGGUAGUCCAUGCCGUAAACGUUGGGCACUAGGUGUGGGGGACAUUCCACGUUUUCCGCGCCGUAGCUAACGCAUUAAGUGCCCCGCCUGGGGAGUACGGCCGCAAGGCUAAAACUCAAAGGAAUCGACGGGGGCCCGCACAAGCGGCGGAGCAUGCGGAUUAAUUCGAUGCAACGCGAAGAACCUUACCAAGGCUUGACAUGAACCGGAAACGUCUGGAAACAGGCGCCCCACUUGUGGUCGGUUUACAGGUGGUGCAUGGUUGUCGUCAGCUCGUGUCGUGAGAUGUUGGGUUAAGUCCCGCAACGAGCGCAACCCUCGUUCCAUGUUGCCAGCGCGUUAGGGCGGGGACUCAUGGGAGACUGCCGGGGUCAACUCGGAGGAAGGUGGGGACGACGUCAAAUCAUCAUGCCCCUUAUGUCUUGGGCUUCACGCAUGCUACAAUGGCCGGUACAAAGGGUUGCGAUACUGUGAGGUGGAGCUAAUCCCAAAAAGCCGGUCUCAGUUCGG